Molecule: long non-coding RNA, 457 nt
Organism: Pan paniscus (pygmy chimpanzee)
Lineage: Eukaryota; Metazoa; Chordata; Mammalia; Primates; Hominidae
Source: Ensembl
GUCCCAGAAAGCACCCAACAUCCACAUUGGUUUUGAGGACUCCCAGCAUUUAUGAGCUUGGGCUACAGGUUCAAUGUCAAGUAAUCCUCUAACAAUCCUGUGUGGUAGGUACUAAUUUUUAUCAUGCUUAUUGCACAGAUGAGGAGACUGAGGCUCUGCGAAAUGACCAUGCCAGUAAGGGCAGAGCCAGGACUCCUAGCCAGAAAUGUACAAGCCAGGAUUCCCAGCCAGAUCCUACAGACUCAUUCUGUUCCACCCAAGGCUUCCAUGAAGGACCUUGGAGAGAGGCCAUUACCAGCUGGACUUCCCACCUUACAGGUAACACAUGUGAUGUCUAAGUUCAUCAACUUGGAUUUAAGUGACUGGGCCUACUUCAACUCUUCAUGACUGCAGAAGAAAGUAGGUGUUUUGUUCCUUAAAUUACUGUCUUUGAUAUCUGCUGAGCAGAGAGUUUAAU